GAACAUGGUUGUGGAAUGGAACAUCCCAGAACUGCCUAAGCUGGGAAAAAGGAAGAGGAAAGGCGCUGCCUGCCACAAAACGGUACCUGGCCCUACUCUGAGAAUUUAGUCUCAGAAUAUUUUUGCAUGCUUGUCAUCCAGGGACUGGAACUUCUCUCUUAGGAGGGCAGGCUGAGAGAAUUGGGCCUAGAGAAGAGAUGACUGAGAAGGAACCCCAUCCCUGUCUGUCAGUGUCCAAGGGGCAGUGUCUGUCAGAGCACAGACCCAGCUCUGCUCUGUAGGGCUCAGCAAUGGAACAAGAGGAAGGAACUGAUGCCCAGGAAGUUCUACCUGAACACGAGGGAGAACUUUCCUGUGCAGUGACCAAGCACUGGACAGGCUGCCCACAGAGGAUGUGGGGUCUCCCUCACUGGGGCAUUCCACAACGAUCCUGAACACAAUCCUGGGCUGUGUGCUCUGGGAUGGCACUGCUGGAGCAGGGAGGUGGGGACACUGUGUUCCCUUCCAACCCGGCCCAUUCUGUGAUUCCCUAUUCACUACAGUGAGCUGGGCUCUUAAUAAAUACUAGAUGUCAUUGCUCUUCCCCCAUCCCUUUUAUCAGUAUUGAUUCACUAUUUCAUUUCCUGUAUCAGGAUAUUUUAUAUAUUUUUGCUCUUCAGGUUACUAGGAUCUCCAUGCUUCUAAAAAUCCAGAUAAAAGCCACCCAAAAUCCUUUUACCCCCCAAAAUCCUCAUUAUGUGUCAAAAGCAGGCAUCAGAAAUCAACCACAGCAGUGGUGCACUGGCAUUCUGGUUUGAAGAGCCUUGUGGCAGAUUUUUGUCAAGGGCUUCCCUAACAUAAAAGAAGAACCCAAAAUGACUGCAAGCCCUUCAUUGUAUCUUCAGCCUCACGUUUGCACAGCUUUUGACAUACUAAGAGAUAGGCCAAGGGGCACCACAAAUGGUUUCAGCUGCAGAAAGGCUGUUGCUACCAAAACAAUGAUUCAUUCUGGCUUUCAGCCUGUCCUUUAGUACAUCUUGGGAAAAUGCUCAUAGGAAGCAGGCUCAGUCUGGAGAAACUGUCCAGAGACGCCUGAUCCAAUUAUCUGAAACACCUCUAUUACCUUCACAGGAAACCCUGACAGAUAUUUUUUUUCCAAGAUGAGACACUUAAUCUUGUUGCACAGAAAAAAGGUUGUUCCUCUACAUUUUAGUUCAUGCUAGAGCUUGCAGAGAAAACAUGAGGAUUAGGUAACUGUGUGUGACAGAAUUAGUUUCAUCAUUUCAUUUAGUUGCACCUUUUUUUUUUCCUUAAAAUCUUGAAUUUUUUUAUCAUCACAAUGGCAGGACAAAGAACCAUUUCAAACUUGAGGCAUGCAUGAAGUAAUAUUGAUUUAUUUGUCUAAGUUUGCAAAGCACUUAAAAAUAGUCUCAAGGUUUUCCUUUAGUGUCAAUGCAUUGCUUGGAUUUGGGUGAGGAUGGUUUAAUUUAAUGUUAGAUCAAAGCAAAGAGAAAAGAGGAAAAAGGAAGAAAUGUCAUGUGUUCUCCAGAACAUGUGGUGGGAGUGGGCCAUGGAGAAGAAAGGGGAUGGAGAAUGUAACAAAGCAAGUUUCUAAUCACAUCCCAGUUUAGGAGGGUAUGAGAUUCCCAUUGUUUCCCCCCAAAGGCUGGAAAACCCUGUGCUGCAGUGAUGAAAAGCUGCUUUGCUUAUCCCUGUCUCUGCUGUCUUGGGCUCCAGAGAACUUCUGUCUCUCCCUAGGUACUGUCAUACCCUGGUAUGCGUGCUCUUACAGGUCACAGCAAGCACAACAGCUGUUCUGGAAGAGUUUAAGUGAUUGCUAUGAAGCCACUUCUGCUUCAUGGCAAUCAUUUGAACCGUCUCUUCUUGACAACACAACAGUUUUAUAACUUCUGAGCUCCUCUUAUUAUACUCAGGAUUGCCAGGAGAAUGGUGAGCCUUCACAGGAUCACACAAGGCACAACUGUAUCAAAAAAGAAAAUGAAUGUGGAAGUAAUGCUACAGCAUUUAAAUCCUUAAACAGAGCUACUUGGUAAGGGAAAUUUGCAACUGCAGAAUGGCUUUUUAAAAGGAAUGAGAAAAGGCAACAUUUCUAAAGGCAGGAACAUAACUCCAGUUGUCACCUAUUAAAAGUCUUUACCCCUGAGCUGGAAGGUGUAAAUAAUACAGUAGAAAUGACCAAAUCACUGCAGGAAGACACAAUAGCAGGUUACUGAGAUCCACCACAAGCAAAGCAUAUGCUUGAUGGCAAAUCUUUUCUCCAUUUCCUACACUAGAUAUUCAUUGGGGUCUGACUUCUAAUUGAAUGCAAAUAAAGAAUAACAGGUUUUUGCAUAUGAAGUGAAGCUAUAGAACAUCUGCCUCUUCACAGCCUUUCAAUGUACCUUAUGUGAUAUUAAGCAAAGAAGAGGUUUGCCUCAUCAGCUUGUAAGAAAUGGUGAAUUUAAAGAACACUGUGACAGAAGUAAAUCAUUCCACUGCUGCUGUAAAAGGUGUCUCUUUGAUCUCCCCACAUAUUCCUAGGUGAUAAAAUGCCAAGUUGGGCAAAAUCAGUUUCGAUGCCAAAAAGAUGGACUACUGGUGCAGAAGGUCACAAAACACUAUUAAUUGCCUUAUAUCAUCUCAGUCUUGAAAGAUGAUUCAAAAAUAUAGGCUGGUGCUUUGGAACAGAGCACACAUUGCUAGCUAGCAUUAUCCAAGCAAGCUGUUACAGGUACUUUAGGCAUGCUCUUACCUGCAAAUGAAAUAACCUGUCUCCUGCUCUUUUAGCCUCUUUUACAGUAGUCAUUGAUGUUGGUUUUUACUUCCUCAGCAACCUAAUUCACUAAUUGUGUUUACUGGUAUAGUCAUUUUGUGACCUUUUCAGAAAAAAGCUACAGCAAUCUGAAUGUAAAAGUCAGUGUCCUGAAAUUAGCUUACAUGUUUGUAGGUUAUAGCAUGGAUGAACAAUGAUGUGGAAAAAAAAAAACCUGGUUAAAAAAUAGCUACACAAAAUACCAGAGAGGAGCUAGAAAGAUUCCCAGAGAGGAGCUAAAAAAAAAAAUCCCCAUCUCUUACAGCACUCUUGCAGAGUGUGUCUAAAACAGUGCAUCUGAGCUUUUGUCAAGACUCUAAUUAAAGGACAUACAAUAAGUAGACAAACAUCAAAAUCAGAUCUAAAAUGCCUAUUUUACAAUCAGUUAAGGAACAAAACACUUGAGUAUCAAGGAUGGAUGACAUUUGAAGGUGUCUGGAAUAACAUCAGCAAUACAUUUCCAUGCUUGGUACUAUUCAGUGGUGUGAGAUGUGCAUGGCACUUCUGGAGUCUGAGGACAGUAAUUGAGUAGUUCUGGCCCCCACACACAUUAUUUUGGAGACAUGCUGUAAGCCCAAAGAAGCUGAUUUCAGUCCCACCAGAGCCAAGGGUCCUUGGCUGACUUCACUUCCAACCUUACACCCACUCCAGAGGUGCUGAAUGAAAGCCCCAGUUUUCCAAAGGAACACAAUCAUUCUCUCCAGCAUUCCUGGGUUGGAGUUCUGAUAACGUGGCAGGCAGGAGGGGAAGCUGCAGGCAGCUGGGCAGUAGAGUGAAAGAUGCCAGCUUGUACAGAUUACAUUACCUGAUUUUCUUUUAUCAUGGUAAGUUGGAGGCAAAAAGAUGACAAGGUGAAUUUGAAUUACUCUUUACAAUGAUGGACCAGAUUUGAAGCUUCCAGAAGUCACUGCAAAUGCUCAAAUAUAAAAUGGGAUUUUCAGACUCACAGUUUAGCAGAUUUCAGUACUGUCUUCUGGGUCAUCCCUCAGUGUCACAUGCAAGCACAAAGGUGUCACCCUUUGGGAUGGAUCACAUGAUGCCUGUGUGGCUGCAGCAGGGUUCUCUGAAGAACUAAGCUAAAUGAAGAGUAGGGCAUUGUUUAUGUAGCAUUUAUAUUGUCCUCUAACAUGAGCUAGACUUUGGAAACAAAAUGAACUGGAAACUUUGCAAUUACAAAGGGAUCUUUUGCUGGCUUUCUGCAGCCCUAAACUUGGGAGCCACUGCUUUAAAAAUGUCACAAAUGACUGUGUCAGGAGUAAAAUUAUGUGCAUUGCAAAACCAGUAAAGGGCAUACUUUGUAAAGAACAGCUAAUGCUGAAUGGCUUUAUGGACAACAGUGUGUGCAUACCACAGUGACGAGAGGCAAGCACCACUGGAGGAGAGGGCACUGCCCAGGCAGGUGACAGAAUGCUAGAAAGGGAAAGAACUGGGCAGCUCUUUCUCUACAAUAAGUUCCAGGAAAUUCUUUACUCUUCCCUAAGCAGACAAGCAUUAAGUUUUCAAAGUCUGUUGGAAAGACUCACAGCAGGAUGUGCCAAUUCAAUCAAUAGCAUGGAAGAAUAAAAGGCCAAGACUUUGCUGCAGUUAGAAUAAACAACUGUCCUAAAUUUCUGACAAACAGGAGCUGUGUCUCUUUGGUAGCAUUUGAGAUGUAUAUAAAAUGUUGUUAGGCUACACAUUCACAGCCAGCAUCAUUGCUCUUUUUUUUCAGCUGAUACUCCCAUCAUGCCUCAGAGGUGACGAAAGGAAAUACUGAGUCCAAACCUGAGAACAGGGUCUCAUGAAAACAAGAAAUUAUGCAAUCUACUGAAGAGAUUUUCUUCAGAAAGAUCACAGGUCUCAUGCUUUAGUCAUGGCCUGUUCCUUUGCCAGCAGGUUCACUGCAAGCUAAAGGAUUUCUUUCACGUAAGCUGCUCACAACGACUACAGAAACCUCCAGGAUUACAGUGCACAAACAAUGGGAGAAAAGCUGCUUCAAAUAAUACACCCAGACAAUGGAGUUGCCAUUAUGGUAGCAAUGCAAAAUAUAGACAGGGAUUUAAAUGAAACUGGUGCUAUCUGUAUACUUUGGAGGGCUCACGUGUGCCAAAUUUGGCAGCAUGAGUGUUCAUACUGCUUGUUGCUCCACCCCUUGAACAAUGAGGCUAAACCCCAUAUGUGCAGGAGUUGGUAGAGCACAAGCAGUUUUGCUAAUCAUGCUGCAUGCAAAAGCAAAAAGACAAAGGAAACUAGUAAUGCUUAGACUAGCAUUGGGGAAAUAAUUAAGCAUGAAUGAAAUAUUGUAUGUGGAUUUGAAAUGAAUGUUCUCGGAAACAAUUGUGCUGUUUCAGUUGUGCUGCUUUCCCCCCUAAGUUUCAAAAAGUAAUUUGCAUGUCAUUUAAAUAAAUACCGUAAAUUAUUGCAAA
Molecule: long non-coding RNA, 5196 nt
Organism: Haemorhous mexicanus (house finch)
Lineage: Eukaryota; Metazoa; Chordata; Aves; Passeriformes; Fringillidae
Exons: 2
Source: RefSeq, a predicted model, not a curated record